Molecule: ribosomal RNA, 471 nt
Filed under: uncultured bacterium
Lineage: Bacteria
Description: bacterial SSU rRNA
Rfam family: Bacterial small subunit ribosomal RNA
Source: RNAcentral
GACGAACGCUGGCGGCGUGCUUAACACAUGCAAGUCGAACGGAGAGCUCAUGAAAGAGGUUUCGGCCAAUAGAUUGAGUUUCUUAGUGGCGGACUGGUGAGUAACGCGUGAGGAACCUGCCUUUCAGAGGGGGACAACAGUUGGAAACGACUGCUAAUACCGCAUGAAGCAUUCGAGCGGCAUCGCUUGGAUGUUAAAGAUUUAUCGCUGAAAGAUGGCCUCGCGUCUGAUUAGCUAGUUGGUGAGGUAACGGCCCACCAAGGCGACGAUCAGUAGCCGGACUGAGAGGUUGACCGGCCACAUUGGGACUGAGAUACGGCCCAGACUCCUACGGGAGGCAGCAGUGGGGAAUAUUGGGCAAUGGACGCAAGUCUGACCCAGCAACGCCGCGUGAAGGAAGAAGGCUUUCGGGUUGUAAACUUCUUUGACAGGGGAAGAGCAGAAGACGGUACCCUGAAAACAAGCCACGGC